This 253-nucleotide ribosomal RNA is filed under the name uncultured bacterium. RNAcentral's name for it is "partial 16S ribosomal RNA". It matches the Rfam family "Bacterial small subunit ribosomal RNA", at positions 524 to 776 of the family's 1533-position model. The record is from RNAcentral.
UACAUGGAGUCCAAGCGUUAUCCGGAAUUACUGGGCGUAAAGCGUUCGUAGGUGGCUGAUCAAGUUUUCAGUGAAAUCUCCAGGCUUAACUUGGAAAUUGCUGAAAAAACUGAUCAGCUAGUGUGCAGCAGAGGCAGAUGGAAUUCUUGGUGUAGAGGUAAAAUUCGUUGAUAUCAAGAAGAACACCAGUGGCGAAGGCGAUCUGCUGGGCUGUUACAGACACUGAGGAACGAAAGCGUGGGUAGCGAACGGG